CGGCGGCUAUAAUGCAGUCGACGAUAGAUGGUAGCUUGCUACCAUCAAAAGUGGCGCACGGGUGCGUAACGCGUAUGCAACCUACCUUAAUCAGGGGGAUAGCCCGAAGAAAUUCGGAUUAACACCGCAUAAAAUCACAGCACAGCAUUGUGCAAUGAUCAAAUAUUUAUAGGAUUAAGAUGGGCAUGCGUGACAUUAGUUAGUUGGCGGGGUAACGGCCCACCAAGACCACGAUGUCUAGGGGAUCUGAGAGGAUGACCCCCCACACUGGUACUGAGACACGGACCAGACUCCUACGGGAGGCAGCAGUAAGGAAUAUUGGUCAAUGGAGGCAACUCUGAACCAGCCAUGCCGCGUGCAGGAAGACCGCCCUCUGGGUCGUAAACUGCUUUUAUUCGGGAAUAAACCUACUUACGUGUAAGUAGCUGAAUGUACCGAAGGAAUAAGGAUCGGCUAACUCCGUGCCAGCAGCCGCGGUAAUACGGAGGAUCCAAGCGUUAUCCGGAUUUAUUGGGUUUAAAGGGUGCGUAGGCGGCUUUUUAAGUCAGGGGUGAAAGACGGUGGCUCAACCAUCGCAGUGCCCUUGAUACUGAAGAGCUUGAAUGAAUUAGAGGUAGGCGGAAUGUGACAAGUAGCGGUGAAAUGCAUAGAUAUGUCACAGAACACCGAUUGCGAAGGCAGCUUACUAUGAUUUUAUUGACGCUGAGGCACGAAAGCGUGGGGAUCAAACAGGAUUAGAUACCCUGGUAGUCCACGCCCUAAACGAUGAAUACUCGCUGUUAGCGAUACACAGUUAGCGGCUAAGCGAAAGCGUUAAGUAUUCCACCUGGGGAGUACGGUCGCAAGAUUGAAACUCAAAGGAAUUGACGGGGGCCCGCACAAGCGGAGGAGCAUGUGGUUUAAUUCGAUGAUACGCGAGGAACCUUACCCGGGCUUGAAAGUUAGUGAAUCAUUUAGAGAUAGAUGAGUCCGCAAGGACACGAAACUAGGUGCUGCAUGGCUGUCGUCAGCUCGUGCCGUGAGGUGUUGGGUUAAGUCCCGCAACGAGCGCAACCCCUAUGUUUAGUUGCCAGCACGUUAAGGUGGGGACUCUAAACAGACUGCCUGUGCAAACAGAGAGGAAGGAGGGGACGACGUCAAGUCAUCAUGGCCCUUACGUCCGGGGCUACCUACACACGUGCUACAAUGGAUGGUACAGAGGGCAGCAAGCUGGUAACAGCAAGCAAAUCUCCAAAAGCCAUUCACAGUUCGGAUAGAGGUCUGCAACUCGACCUCUUGAAGUUGGAUUCGCUAGUAAUCGUAUAUCAGCAAUGAUACGGUGAAUACGUUCCCGGGCCUUGUACACACCGCCCGUCAAGCCAUGGAAGUUGGGGGUACCUAAAGUAUGUAACCGCAAGGAGCGUCCUAGGUAAGCC
Molecule: ribosomal RNA, 1415 nt
Filed under: Pedobacter sp. Bza23
Lineage: Bacteria; Pseudomonadati; Bacteroidota; Sphingobacteriia; Sphingobacteriales; Sphingobacteriaceae
Description: bacterial SSU rRNA
Rfam family: Bacterial small subunit ribosomal RNA
Source: RNAcentral